GAGAUUGUAAUAUUGAGUUACCCAAAUUAGCUAGUCUAUUACAAACAUGAAAAAAAAACGUUUUACAAGUACUGUGUUCUUCUCUAUCUUGUUGAAAAAUAGUGAACACCCAUAGGGGAGGGUACAAAAACACUUGAAAAUUUGUUGCCACUAAGUUGUGUGCUCCUUGUUGAGACAAAACAUAUGCUACUUCAUUUCCCUCUCUAUUGUUAUGCCUAAGCAGUGGAUCUCCAACCUCGUUAACCAGUACCUGCAUUGAUCAAUUAAAUUAGUAUAAGGAGAUGAUUGUUCUGAAGAAGUUGCAGAACAUAAGUGGAUUCUGUUUCAAUUUCUAAUGGAAAACAGUGAUGCUCAAAGGCAAAAGUAAUGCCUUGAAAGAGAGCUUUAAGUUUCCACUUCAGAGGGGUUAAGGGCAUUUAUGGCUAGGUAUAAGCCUAC
This 438-nucleotide long non-coding RNA is filed under the name Capsicum annuum. RNAcentral's name for it is "long non-coding RNA (CANN_LNC004759)". The record is from RNAcentral. Lineage: Eukaryota; Viridiplantae; Streptophyta; Magnoliopsida; Solanales; Solanaceae.